GACGAACGCUGGCGGCGUGCCUAAUGCAUGCAAGUCGCACGCGGCACCUUCGGGUGCUGAGUGGCGAACGGCUGAGGAACACGUGGGGACCUGUCCGGGAGUGGGGGACAACACCGCGAAAGCGGUGCUAAUCCCGCAUACGCUCUGAGGAGGAAAGCCGAAAGGCGCUCCCGGGUGGGCCUGCGGCCCAUCAGGUGGUUGGUGGGGGAACGGCCUACCAAGCCAAUGACGGGUCGCUGGUCUGUGAGGACGACCAGCCAGACUGGGACUGGGACACGGCCCAGACUCCUACGGGAGGCAGCAGCAAGGAAUUUUCGGCAAUGGGCGCAAGACUGACCGAGCAACGCCGCGUGCAGGAAGACGGCCUUCGGGUUGUAAACUGCUUUUGCUAGGGAGGAUAACAGACAGUACCUGGCGAAUCAGCCCCGGCUAACUCUGUG
RNAcentral lists this ribosomal RNA (440 nucleotides) under uncultured bacterium. RNAcentral describes it as "partial 16S ribosomal RNA". It matches the Rfam family "Bacterial small subunit ribosomal RNA", at positions 28 to 507 of the family's 1533-position model. The record is from RNAcentral.